Molecule: ribosomal RNA, 960 nt
Filed under: Acanthobothrium sp. MZUSP 8035
Lineage: Eukaryota; Metazoa; Platyhelminthes; Cestoda; Tetraphyllidea; Onchobothriidae
Description: 16S ribosomal RNA
Rfam family: Archaeal large subunit ribosomal RNA (bases 637-919)
Source: RNAcentral
GUAAUUAUUUUUAAUCUUUUUAUCCGGUUUAGUCUGCCUUUUGCAUCAUGCUUAGUGGAUUUUUAUGAAUAAAUUUCUUUAACCGAAAGCUUUGGAUUUCAAGUUUAGUUGUUUAGAACGUUAAAAUCGGGUAGAUAAAAAUUUAAACUUUUCUUGUGCUGUGAUAAAUUAAUCGUCGGGGUUUAUAACUGUUUUUCGGCUAUUAAUUUUAAAUUACUUGUUUGGUUAGGAGAUCCAUCAAGUUUAUACAUUUUUUUUUAUUUUUUUUUUAAUAAGGUUAAAAAUACCUUUUUCUUAAGAGUUUGUUAAAAGUUUUAUUAAAUUUAUAUAGAAUUAUUUUUAUUGGUCGUUUAUAUUAUAAUCAUUAGUUUUACUUAUUACUAAAUAAGUAAUUUAAGUAUAUCUAAUUGUUUCUCAAGUUUUUCCUGUCUGUUUAUUAAAAACAUUUCCAUAUUAUAAAUUUUAUGGUAGUGCCUGCUCUAUGUUAAUAUAAAUGGCCGCAGUAUCUUGACUGUGCGAAGGUAGCAUAAUUAAUUGCCUUAUAAUUGAAGGCUUGUCUGAAUGGUUUGACAAGGUAAAUACAAACAUUUAGUAUUUUUUUGAAAUUAAUAAUGAGGGCACAGAAUCCUCUUUAAUUAAUUAGACGGAAAGACCCCGGGAUCUUUAUUUUUUGUCUGGGGCAGAUUAAAGUUUUUUAUUAAAUUUAAGACCCUUAAAAAAGUUUAGUGAGUUAAGUUACCCCGGGGAUAACAGUGUAAUAGUUUACUAGAGGCCUUAUCGAAUAAACUGUUUGCUACCUCGAUGUUGACUUAGGUAAAUAGAUUAGGCGCAGUAGUCUAAUUUUUGGGUCUGUUCGACCUUAUGUACCUCCAUGAGUUGAGUUAAGACCGGCGUGAGCCAGGUCGGUUCUUAUCUAUUAUUGUGAUUUAUUAGUACGAAAGGAUUGUAAAUUGUUUUUUU